Molecule: long non-coding RNA, 257 nt
Filed under: Homo sapiens (human)
Lineage: Eukaryota; Metazoa; Chordata; Mammalia; Primates; Hominidae
Description: non-protein coding lnc-NPAP1-9:2
Source: RNAcentral
UUCUGUGGAUGAUAUUCUGGCUUCUGAAGACUUGUCAUUGCUACAGCAACACCGAGAUGCAUUGGCACUCUUCAAUCCAGAGGAUGGGCCAUCAACGCACAAAAGUGGAAGGCUUGGACUAGCUGCAAAGUUCCUAUGGAUCACUUGGCCUGGUUUGGAAUAGUUCACCAGUGAAGUCAUCUCAACCAGCACAGGGCCUUGACUCCUAACAACAAUCACACGAACUUGGAAGAGGAUCCUUCCCCAGCUGAAACUUC